GCCUACGGGGGGCAGCAGUGGGGGAUAUGGCACAGUGGGGGAAACCCUGAUGCAGCGACGCCGCGUGUGGGAAGACGGUCUUAUGGAUUGUAAACCACUGUCCCCAGGGACGAAAAUGACGGUACCUGGGGAGGAAGCUCCGGCUAACUACGUGCCAGCAGCCGCGGUAAUACGUAGGGAGCAAGCGUUGUCCGGAAUUACUGGGUGUAAAGGGAGCGUAGACGGCCAGACAAGUCUGAAGUGAAAAUCCAGCGCUUAACGUUGGAAGUGCUUUGGAAACUGCCGGGCUAGAGUGCAGGAGGGGG
RNAcentral lists this ribosomal RNA (305 nucleotides) under uncultured bacterium. RNAcentral describes it as "bacterial SSU rRNA". It matches the Rfam family "Bacterial small subunit ribosomal RNA", at positions 337 to 658 of the family's 1533-position model. The record is from RNAcentral.